CCCUUAGAUGGUCUGGGCGGCACGCGCGCUACAAUGAUGCAUUGAAAAAGUCUUCUGACCUUAGAAGGUUGGGUAUUCUCCAAAGUGCAUCGUGAUGGGAAUAGUUUAUUGCAAUUUUUAAUCUUGAACGAGGAAUUCCUAUUAAGUACAGGUCAUCAACUUGUGUUGAUUACGUCCCUGCCCUUUGUACACACCGCCCGUCGCUCCUACUGAUUGAGUGUCUCGGUGAAUUCUUUGAUCUUCUGUCGAUUCGGUUCACUGAUCCGACGGUGGAAAGUUGAAUGAACUUCGUCACUUAGAGGAAGGAGAAGUCGUAACA
Molecule: ribosomal RNA, 319 nt
Filed under: uncultured eukaryote
Lineage: Eukaryota
Description: partial 18S ribosomal RNA
Rfam family: Eukaryotic small subunit ribosomal RNA
Source: RNAcentral